RNAcentral lists this unclassified non-coding RNA (277 nucleotides) under Hevea brasiliensis (rubber tree). Lineage: Eukaryota; Viridiplantae; Streptophyta; Magnoliopsida; Malpighiales; Euphorbiaceae. The record is from RNAcentral.
GCGAAAAUUGCUGAAUUUUUGAAGGUUUUCUUCUUAUUGGAAUUGUAUUCUUUGAGUUCUGUUGGACGACAUUGUCUUUUUUUGGAAAUAUUAUCAAUGCUUUGCCAUGUUCAGGUAGGCUGUAAUAACUUGAUUGUGAUUAAAAUUGAUUUCUUCGUCAACUGGCAAGUGGAACCAACCAAUUUUUUACUAAUUUAGUUAAACUGUUAAAGAGAAUGGGAAUAUAAUGAUAAAAGUCAUUAUAUUGUUCAAAUGUAUUCUCUCUCUCUCUCUCUCU